This 329-nucleotide small RNA is filed under the name Pelobates cultripes (western spadefoot toad). Lineage: Eukaryota; Metazoa; Chordata; Amphibia; Anura; Pelobatidae. The record is from RNAcentral.
GGGAAGGAAGGGAUGACUGGUGACAGAGUGAGGGAAUGACUGGUGACAGAGUGAGAGAGGGGUGACUAGUGACCGAGUGAGGGAGGGAGUGGGUGACUAGUGACAGAGUGAGGAAGGGGGUGACACAGUGAUAGUCACCCCAUUCCUCCCUCUGUCACUAAUCACCACCUCCCUCACUCUCACUAGUCACACCCUCCCUCUCUCUGUCACUAGUCACACCCUUACUGUCACUAGUCACACCCUUACUCACUGUCACUAGUCACACCCUCCCUCUCUCUGUCACUAGUCACACCCUUACUCACUGUCACUAGUCACACCCUCCCUCUCUC